UACAGAGGUCUCAAGCGUUGUUCGGAUUCAUUGGGCGUAAAGGGUGCGUAGGUGGCGCGGAAAGUCGGGUGUGAAAUUUCGGAGCUUAACUCCGAAACUGCAUUCGAUACUUCCGUGCUUGAGGACUGGAGAGGAGACUGGAAUUCCUGGUGUAGCGGUGAAAUGCGCAGAUAUCAGGAGGAACACCGGUGGCGAAGGCGGGUCUCUGGGCCGGUACUGACGCUGAGGAGCGAAAGCGUGGGGAGCGAACAGG
Molecule: ribosomal RNA, 253 nt
Filed under: uncultured bacterium
Lineage: Bacteria
Description: partial 16S ribosomal RNA
Rfam family: Bacterial small subunit ribosomal RNA
Source: RNAcentral